GACGAACCGUGCGAACGUUGUUCGGAAUCACUGGGCUUAAAGGGCGCGUAGGCGGGUCGAGAAGUCCGUGGUGAAAUCCCUCCGCUCAACGGGGGAACGGCCGCGGAUACUGUCGGCCUCGAGGAAGGUAGGGGCGAGCGGAACGCUGGGAGGAGCGGUGAAAUGCGUUGAUAUCCAGCGGAACUCCGGUGGCGAAGGCGGCUCGCUGGGCCUUCUCUGACGCUGAGGAACGAAAGCCAGGGGAGCGAACGGG
This 253-nucleotide ribosomal RNA is filed under the name uncultured bacterium. RNAcentral describes it as "partial 16S ribosomal RNA". It matches the Rfam family "Bacterial small subunit ribosomal RNA", at positions 524 to 776 of the family's 1533-position model. The record is from RNAcentral.